AGGAGUGUGGCUCAAGCGGUAGAGCACCUGCCUCCCAAGCAUGAGGCCCUGAAUUCAAAUCUAGUACUUCCA
Molecule: transfer RNA, 72 nt
Filed under: Dipodomys ordii (Ord's kangaroo rat)
Lineage: Eukaryota; Metazoa; Chordata; Mammalia; Rodentia; Heteromyidae
Rfam family: tRNA
About the family: Transfer RNA (tRNA) molecules are approximately 80 nucleotides in length. Their secondary structure includes four short double-helical elements and three loops (D, anti-codon, and T loops).
Source: Rfam by way of RNAcentral